This 253-nucleotide ribosomal RNA is filed under the name uncultured bacterium. Its description in RNAcentral is "partial 16S ribosomal RNA". It matches the Rfam family "Bacterial small subunit ribosomal RNA", at positions 524 to 776 of the family's 1533-position model. The record is from RNAcentral.
UACAGAGGGGGCAAGCGUUGUUCGGAAUUACUGGGCGUAAAGAGCGCGUAGGCGGCCUGUUAAGUCAGACGUGAAAUCCCUCGGCUCAACCGGGGAACUGCGUCUGAUACUGGCGGGCUUGAAUUCGGGAGAGGGAUGUGGAAUUCCAGGUGUAGCGGUGAAAUGCGUAGAUAUCUGGAGGAACACCGGUGGCGAAGGCGGCAUCCUGGACCGACAUUGACGCUGAGGCGCGAAAGCCAGGGGAGCAAACGGG